Molecule: ribosomal RNA, 384 nt
Filed under: uncultured bacterium
Lineage: Bacteria
Description: bacterial SSU rRNA
Rfam family: Bacterial small subunit ribosomal RNA
Source: RNAcentral
AUUGAACGCUGGCGGCAUGCCUUACACAUGCAAGUCGAACGGCAGCACGGGGGCAACCCUGGUGGCGAGUGGCGGACGGGUGAGUAAUGCAUCGGAACGUGCCCUGAAGUGGGGGAUAACGCAGCGAAAGCUACGCUAAUACCGCAUAUUCUGUGAGCAGGAAAGCAGGGGAUCGCAAGACCUUGCGCUUUGGGAGCGGCCGAUGUCGGAUUAGCUAGUUGGUGGGUAAGGCCUACCAAGGCGACGAUCCGUAGCGGGUCUGAGAGGAUGAUCCGCCACACUGGGACUGAGACACGGCCCAGACUCCUACGGGAGGCAGCAGUGGGGAAUUUUGGACAAUGGGCGAAAGCCUGAUCCAGCCAUGCCGCGUGAGUGAAGAAGGCC